RNAcentral lists this non-coding RNA (45 nucleotides) under Schistosoma haematobium. Lineage: Eukaryota; Metazoa; Platyhelminthes; Trematoda; Strigeidida; Schistosomatidae. The record is from RNAcentral.
AUCCAGCUGACGUGUCCCAAUUAGGACGAAACCCGCCUCCUGGAU